This 526-nucleotide ribosomal RNA is filed under the name Nakazawaea ernobii. Its description in RNAcentral is "eukaryotic LSU rRNA". It matches the Rfam family "Eukaryotic large subunit ribosomal RNA", at positions 104 to 646 of the family's 3401-position model. Lineage: Eukaryota; Fungi; Ascomycota; Pichiomycetes; Alaninales; Pachysolenaceae. The record is from RNAcentral.
AAAGCUCAAAUUUGAAAUCUAGCACUUUCAGUGUUCGAGUUGUAAUUUGAAGAAGGUAUCUUUGGAGUUGGCCCCCGUCUAUGUUCCUUGGAACAGGACGUCACAGAGGGUGAGAAUCCCGUGCGAUGGGGAGACCAAUUCUAUGUAAAGUUCCUUCGAAGAGUCGAGUUGUUUGGGAAUGCAGCUCUAAGUGGGUGGUAAAUUCCAUCUAAAGCUAAAUAUUGGCGAGAGACCGAUAGCGAACAAGUACAGUGAUGGAAAGAUGAAAAGAACUUUGAAAAGAGAGUGAAAAAGUACGUGAAAUUGUUGAAAGGGAAGGGCUUUUGAUCAGACUUGGUGUUUAGUACUCUCUACUCCUUGUGGGUGGGGCUCUUGCUUUAUACUGGGCCAGCAUCGGUUUGGAUGGUAGGAUAAUAGCAUUGGAAUGUGGCUUCAUUCGUGAAGUGUUAUAGCCUUUGUUGAUACUACCUAUCUAGACCGAGGACUGCGUCUUUUGACUAGGAUGCUGGCGUAAUGAUUAAAAGCC